Molecule: long non-coding RNA, 5247 nt
Organism: Gallus gallus (chicken)
Lineage: Eukaryota; Metazoa; Chordata; Aves; Galliformes; Phasianidae
Exons: 2
Source: RefSeq, a predicted model, not a curated record
GAGGUUUGCUUUUGCAAUGGAUCGCAUUGAUCGCACUCUCUGCACCGAGCUGCCGCCAGCCCCCAGCCCAGCUGCUCUCCCUCUGCACUCACCAGGACCUUCCCCUCCUUUGGCUGCAUGGCUGCUCCAGGGCCACCUCUGGGACCCGCCAAAGAGGAUAACCUAAGAGCCAAAGGGGACCAACUAUCUCUCACACAGACGGGUUGUGUCUGUACCUCUGAUUUUUGUCCUACGUUCACAUUGUGGGAGAGCUUAGAAAGAAAAGAUAUGCAGGAACCCAAUUCGCCGCCAUCGGUUGGGGAGGAUCUCUGCCAAGAGGCCUCCAACUCUCCCCAGGGCAGCGCUAUCCAAAGCAAACCUUCAGCCUCAUCCUAGCAGCCGUGUUGAAAGUUUAAGGUGCUCUGAGUUACAUGAGGUCAUAAAUUAAUCUGCCAGAGAAGCGUGGCAUGCACCUGAUAUCAAGGGAGGGUCAGGAGCCGGCCAGUUCCAGCUGGCCCCAUGUGUGAUUUACUCCAGGCUUUAAAGAUGUAUGCUGUGGUGUUUUGAUAAGAAUAAAGGAGUCAGCAGUUUGUUUUGGCAAUUUUUUUUUUUUUUUUAACUCUUCUUUCUGAAGAGGACUGCAGCUUAAGCUACAGAUUUUGUUAUUGCUCUCAGGGUGCUUUUUAGCAGAGGCUCUCGGUCUGCAUGGGGCUAUCUCAUCUCUUUACUGUUACACUUAACCACAUUUCUGCCUCUCUGGAGCCAGUCAGACAACAGCACGCACUUCUCAGCAGCUCCUCUCCUCCAGGCCUGCAGCAUCUCCCGGAGCACUCAGAAAGACUACAGCCCAGUAUACGGGUGAGCUUCUCUGCCACAGCAAUGCCCCACCACUGCGUCACAUCUCUGACCUCUUGCCACAAGUCCUUGCCCCAUAAAGGUCACCCUCUCCCCCCGACAUCAUUCCAGUACGUGAGUACUUUCAUUCUGUCCUGUACAGGUGCAUUCAUACAUACUUCAAGGCUGAGUGUGGGAGGGUGUCCUGCUCUUAGCUGAACUCAUCUCUUGCACGCAGGUCCCAUCACACCCACAGUGCCCUCACCCAAAGCCCCCAAACUUCCACUCAUAGCCUUCAAUCAGAGAAUACUGAAGGGAUGAUCACAUUCUGACAUGAAGAGACCACCAGAAAUGCCCCAGAGCAAGGAGUGAUGCACCAGGAGCAUUCUGUAGAAGUGACAGCAGUGGGUGCUGGAAUGGGGGACUCAGAAUCACAUGAGGAGUUUGGGAUUAUAUCCCUGUUUUUUUUUUCUCCUUUCUUCCUAUUUUAGUUUCUCUGCCUGUAAAACAGGCAGAUAACAGCCUCUGACCCUACUGCUUUUCCAUGAGGCAAUUGCUGUCUGAAAAAAAAGUCAGAAACCCUCCGAGGACACAAUUGGUGACAAUGUUCUGAGGUGGAUGCACUGCCAUUCCUGUGUUGUGCUUGGCUAACACUUCCCAGCACAGACCAUGUUUUCUGUUGCAUGUAGCUUUAGAAAAAACAUCAUCACUUCGACUGAAAACUGAUAUGCUGACUGUCUGUACCAGGAUGAUUAUUUUGAAAAUACCUGCCAAAACAAUUUGUCCAUUUCCAAGAACAAGGUUAUGGAAAAAUAAACAGUUUUGCUCAUACUAAAAAAAUGGAAACUUUUUCCUUUGAAAUGCUCUGCUGCCCUCAGGCUUUGAAGCACAGUCUCAAAAUGUGACCUCUUUCAUUCAAAACGUGCCUUUCCCUUCUCUGAAAAUUUACACAAAUCUGGCUAACUUGUAAAUAUUAGAUUUUUUUCUUUCUUGAAUGAGCACACUCUCAGUAAUGAUUUCUUUUAUUCUAAUAGGGGAAAAAAAAAAGGGGGGAUCAUUAAAGACUGGUCUUGACUGAGAACAGAAGCUUAAGGAUACUGUGGUAAAGCUAGAUUUCCACUUUAAUCCCCACCUCCAAAUUUUCCCAGUGAGCCCGAGCCUUGGCACAGGAUCUGAGAGGUAGGAAUCCUAUCUCUUCUAAGCUCCAAAUGAUUUGAAGGUUGUAUCAAGAAGAAAGGUCUCCGCAUGAAUACGACAGGGAGAAAAUUCUACCCUGUGACAGAGAAGGCAACAGAGGCAGCCAAGCAGCCCGGAGAGAAAAACUGGGACUGGCGUUUGGAGCAGGAGCCUGGGACUGAUUAGGUAAGGAGACACAGAGGUGGUGCGGAAAAAGCAAAGAGAAAGUGCUCAGCGGAGGAGCCUGGAGGGGAGAAAAGGGGCUGGCAGGGCAAGGAUAACAAAACCGUCUAAUACUGUCAGCCAAGAGCAAGGAUACAUAAUUGCAGAAUGUCCAGAAUAGCUGGGCUGAAUUUCAUGUGAAACACAGUAAAAAUUGUUUAAGUCUAAAUGUUUAAUUUCUGUAUUGUUAACUGAUGUACUUCAGCUUCUCUGUUAAGCAUUAAUGUUUUUUUUUAAUUUUGAAUAGAAUUUGCUUUCUGAUGCUAGAAAAUAAAGAAUUUAAUGACCUUCAAGAUAAGUAUUUCUGAGCAGAUUCAGAAUAUUUUUAAAUGAUUUUUUGUGUGUGUGUGACAUCAAGCUAAGGGAAUGUGCUACACAGUUGGCUCUGGCUGUAACAUCAGGUACUCAGAUGUUAGGGCAACAUCUAUGCCGAGGGUGUCAGAGUUCCUUAGUUCUGCCUCCCUGCAUUGAGAUAUAUGACCACACAGAGUUCAUUCCACCAAUUUCCCAAAACACAAAUGAAGCCCUGCAAGUUACGCCUUCUCUAUGGGCAGGGCACAGGUUCGUAGUUUUUAUUCACUGUAUUUCCAAUUUGUCGCAGAACUGGGUACUGUUCACAGACAAGGCAGACAAUUACAAGGAGAGAAAGCAGGGCCUUGUGGCAAUGUGACAGCUGAAUUUUGCUUGUAGAAUCUGAAUCCAUUCCCCUUUCACCUCAAAGCUUCUACAAUGUGAAGAAAGUCACCACAAGAUGUAAUAAUUAGCUGAGAUUUUUGUGUUAUGAGAGCCCACCAUGAAAUUCUGGAGUUGGAUUUGCUGAAGCAAAUUCCUAGGGCAAAAUCCAUGGGACUGUACAUCGACAGUGCCAAGGGAUGCAGAAUAUCAAACAGGCUGAAAAAAAACAAGUAAUCAGCAUCUCUAAUUGGAUACUCAAAAUUAGUGGGCACUUCUGACUUUAAUCUCAUUUAGUUGUAGCACAGAUUUAUUAACAAGGAUAAGACUAUCUCAUUGCUUCAAUUUUUUGUUUGCCAAACACCCAGACACCAUACAUCUUGUGGCUGGGAGAGGAAUAGAAGAAAAAUAACAGUGUUGGGUUCAAAUUGGGAUUGAUGUGCCCCAAACAAAACCUACAGAGUCUCACACAUGUAAAACUCAACCAUGGAAACUAACUCCUGCUAGCCCUGCUCCACUUACUACCCUGAAUGGCAAAGGGGUGCUCACAAAUAUAUCAAGCCAAAAAGUCCUACCAUCCUUUCAAAUAAUAUUUUUGUAGGGUGUACGUGAAUGGAUGAAACAAAGUGGGUUUUUUUUAAAGUUAUUUUUGAAAAGGGAGAAAGUGAGGAAGAAAAAUGGAGAGGAACAAGCCCAUAAUGUCAGAGAAUAUGGAAAACAUCAGUUUUGGACAUUCAGCCUAGCAACUUGUCUUUGGUUACUGCAAAAUCUCUUUUCCUUUGCUUACAUCCUUGCAGUUGCUUCAGAAUGAACAUUUUUCCUAUGACAAAUUUUGAAUUUUGAGGAAAAAUGUAUUUUCCAGAAAAUUCUUGACCAUCUCCAGGUAUGUGAAGGAGCCAUUAAGAGCUGUGGGAUAACACAUCUCUGCAAGGGAUUGUUACUGAGUGGUGUGAUCAGCUCUCAUUCUGUCACUUCCUACUGCUUCCUGUUGGUUUUAAAUGUUUAUAGUCUCUGUAAUUUGCUUUUGAGUGUGUGUAUGUACAAAAUACUAUAUGACUAUGCAAGAUUUAUCUUCUACCUAAUUUAUUGCUGUUCCAUUUUUUUCCAUUAAAGCAUAGCUUUUUACAUCCAUUCAUUGAUUUUUCAUUCCAUAGAAUCACAGAAUAUCCUGAACUAGAAGGGACCCACAAGGAUCAUUGUGUCCAACUCGUGGCUCCACGCAGCACCAGCCAAAAUCCAAACCCUAUGUCUGAGACCGUUAUCCAAACGCUCCUUGAACUCCAUCAGCUCAAGACCAUGCCCACUGCCCUUUGGGUACCUAACCCUCACCUGACCCUCCCCAGCACAGCUCCAUGCUGUUCCCUUGGGCCCUGUCACCAGAUAGCUGAGGUCAGCACUAUCCCUCCACUCCCUGUGAGGAGCUGUAGGCUACCACGAGACCUCCCCUGUCUGCUCUUUUCCAGGUUGAAGUGAAUUCUGUAAUGAUUUCUGCUGUUUAGAACUAAAUACAAACAUUAAUCUCAAAACCUCCAAAAUCCCCAUUUUGAGACUUAGACUUUACAUCACGAAAACGUGGCAUUGAAGAAAAAAUGUAAGACAUAAAAAAUAAGACAUAACACUGUGACUUGUUAGUGAUAAACAUCAACAAAGUUACUACAAAUAUAACAAUUAUAAAUCUAAGUAGAGGUUACUAUGUACCUUACAAUUCAGAGACAGACAAAACAAGCAAGAUUGAAACAUCCUUCAUGUUAGUGAUAGAAUACCACAAAUUCAGGGGUGUUAGUGAUAUCUCAUUCAUUUUAACAAAUGGUUUUUGUUUGUUUGUUUGUUUGUUUUUAGAGAGUUGAGUGCUUCUGAAUGGUAGCAGGUUGAUAAUUUUUAGACAGUAUUUCAGCUCAUUUGCUGAUCAGGUGCAACACAAACAACAUUUCUGUCUUACCCAAGCUAAGCAUAAUAGCAAAAGGGCAACUGGAGAGUCCAAGUAACCUUUGUCUUUUUUUUUUUUUUUUGCUCAGAUAGCACAUAUUUAAUUGCUUGCUUUUUAAUUGCUUAUAUAUUAUUUAUUUUAGCACUGACAGUUAUCUGCAGGGAACUGGAGUAAAGUCUUCAAAAUUUUUCAGCUUCUGCAUACACAUCUAAAUCAUGAAGAGAAGAUGAGAGCGCUAGCGAAAUCCAAACACUUUAUUUAAAACAAAAAGUGUAAUUGUUCAGAAAUAGGCUAUUGACUUUCACUGGGUUAAACAGCUCAUGUAGUGAUUAGGCUUGAAGCUAUAAUUGUUCUUGUCACCCAAACUCUGCUCAGUCAAUAUCUUUUUAUCAUAUACAUUUUUAAUCACAUAUUAAUAAACAAGAAGGUGUGCUUUA